AAAAUGCCAAUAAAACAGAUUCACUGAACUUACUCUUUUAUUUGUUGAUUCGCUCUAUUUACAUUGUCGCUUUCUUUCACUUCGAAGUCUCGAUGGCAGGCGGGAACACUGCCUCCGGCGGCAGGACCGGUGUGAGAAUCGUCGUCGCAGGCGAUCGCUUCACCGGAAAAUCGAGCUUGAUUGCGGCGGUUGCCACUGAUUCUUUCCCCGAGAACGUCCCCCGCGUGCUUUCUCCUACUCGUCUACCGGCCGAUUUCUUCCCCGAUCGUGUCCCCAUCACCAUCAUCGACACUUCUUCUGCCCCGGAGAAUAGAGGAAAGCUUAUUGACGAAUUGAAGCGAGCUGAUGCGGUGGUGUUAACUUAUGCUUGUGAUCAACCUCUGACACUCAGUCGUUUGAGUAGUACUUGGCUCGAGGAACUCCGGCAAUUGGAGAUCAAGGCACCUAUUAUUGUGGUUGGUUGCAAACUAGACUUGCGACCCGAUAGUGAGGCUGUUAGCCUGGAGCAGGUCAUGGGACCAACCAUGCAACGAUAUAGAGAAAUUGAGACCUGUAUAGAAUGUUCCGCAGUUACCCUUAUGCAGGUCCCAGAUGUUUUCUAUUUUGCUCAAAAAGCUGUCCUUCAUCCAACAUCUCCAUUGUUUGAUCAAGAGAAUCAAGCUUUGAGACCUCGAUGUGAAAGGGCUUUGAGAAGGAUAUUUCUUCUUUGUGAUCGUGACAUGGAUGGGGCACUUAAUGAUGCAGAGUUGAAUGACUUUCAGGUUAAGUGUUUUAAUGCUCCCCUGCAGCCUGCUGAGAUAGUGGGUGUGAGAAGAGUAGUACAAGAAAAGAAGAAAGAAGGUGUUAAUGACCUGGGUCUUACACUUGAAGGAUUCCUUUUCCUACAUACUCUAUUCAUAGAUAAGGGGCGACUUGAAACAACUUGGGCUGUUUUGAGAAAAUUUGGCUAUGACGAUGAAUUAAAACUCAGAGAUGAUCUUCUUCCUGUUCCAUCUAAACAAGCUUCUGACCAGAGUAUAGAGCUGACUACUGAAGCUGUGGAGUUUCUGCGUGGGAUCUUCCGAUUGUUUGAUAUUGAUAAUCAUGGGGCUUUACGACCUGCUGAACUUGAUGAGCUAUUUUCAACUGCUCCAGAAAAUCCUUGGCAUGAGGCUCCUUACAAGGAUGCUGCAGAGAGAACAACACAAAGGAAUUUAACUCUGAAGGGUUUCCUAUCUGAGUGGGAUCUCAUGACAUUGCUGGAUCCAAAAAGCAGUUUGGCUAAUCUGAUAUAUGUUGGUUAUGGUGGAAAUCCUGCUUCAGCACUCUGUGUUACUCAAAGAAGAACAGUGGACCGCAAAAAGCAACGAACAGAAAGAAAUGUUUUCCAUUGCUUAGUGUUUGGUCCUAAAAAUGCUGGAAAGUCAGCUCUAUUGAAUUCAUUUUUAGAAAGGCCAUUCUCAAUUUACAAUCCAACAAUAGCAGAGCAUUAUGCAGCAAAUGUUGUUGACCAGGUUUUGGGCAAUAAGAAGACUCUUAUUUUGCACGAGAUGCCAGAAGAUGGAGUAAAGAAAUUUUUGUCAAAUAAAGAAUCCCUGGCAGCCUGUGAUGUUGCUGUAUUUGUCUACGAUAGUUCAGAUAAAUAUUCUUGGAAAAGAACCUGUGAAAUGCUUUUGGAAGUAACUAGGUUAGGUGAAGAAAGCGGAUAUGGGGUGCCAUGCCUUCUUGUCGCAGCCAAGGAUGACUUGGAUCCAUUUACAAUGGCAGUUCAGGAUCCAGUAACGGUUUGUCAGGAUUUGGGAAUAGAGGCUCCUAUUGCUGUUAGCAUGAAACUAGGAGAAACAAAUAAUGUAUUCUGUAGAAUUCUAAGUGCAGCUGAACGCCCUCAUUUGAAUAUUCCUGAAACUGAGGCUGGGAGGAAGCGCAAGUACUUUCGGCAGCUUUUCAGUCACUCUCUGCUAUUCAUGUCAGUUGGGGCUGCUUUCACAGUUGUCGGAGUGGCAGCUUUUCGCGCAUACACUGCAAGGAAGAAUUCUUCUAGCUAGAUUUUGAGCUGCCAAUUAACUGUUGCAACUUUGCUACAUCAAUGGAAGGCUUUCCCAAUUUUGCACGCUUCAACUCAUCAUGGAAUCAUUACAGUUGUAUGCAUACGAGAUUGUAUGGCUAUGGAAUUGGAAUUCAUCCAUAACAAUCAGAAGAUCCAGAGGAUGUGUCCAAGAAAACUGAAAUUAACUUUCCAGCCGUGAAAUUGCUUACCUUGUAUGUCUCAAGCCCUGAUAACAAGGUUUAAUUCACUUGAUCUCAUAGGAGUUUUUUUUCUUGAUUUAGUUAUGUUACUGUUUAUGUUUUGAGAGAUCCCUUUUAUUUUUGUCAAUAAGCAAAAAAAUUUUUUUUAUUUCAAA
Molecule: RNA transcript, 2381 nt
Organism: Jatropha curcas
Lineage: Eukaryota; Viridiplantae; Streptophyta; Magnoliopsida; Malpighiales; Euphorbiaceae
Gene: MIRO2
Gene name: MIRO-related GTP-ase 2
Source: RefSeq, a predicted model, not a curated record